CGGGUAAGUAACGCGUGGGCAACCUGCCCUGUACAGGGGGAUACCAUCUGGAAACAGAUGCUAAUACCGCAUAACCGCAUCAGCCCGCAUGGGCAGAUGCGGAAAGGGAGAAAUCCCGGUACAGGAUGGACCCGCGUCUGAUUAGCCAGUUGGCAGGGUAACGGCCUACCAAAGCGACGAUCAGUAGCCGGCCUGAGAGGGUGGACGGCCACAUUGGGACUGAGACACGGCCCAGACUCCUACGGGAGGCAGCAG
This 255-nucleotide ribosomal RNA is filed under the name uncultured bacterium. RNAcentral describes it as "partial 16S ribosomal RNA". It matches the Rfam family "Bacterial small subunit ribosomal RNA", at positions 103 to 354 of the family's 1533-position model. The record is from RNAcentral.